GUGGCUCAGUGGUAGAGCGCAUGCCUUGCAUGCAUGAGGCCCUGGGUUCAAUUCCUCAGC
Molecule: transfer RNA, 60 nt
Filed under: Dipodomys ordii (Ord's kangaroo rat)
Lineage: Eukaryota; Metazoa; Chordata; Mammalia; Rodentia; Heteromyidae
Rfam family: tRNA
About the family: Transfer RNA (tRNA) molecules are approximately 80 nucleotides in length.
Source: Rfam by way of RNAcentral